UUUAAAUUUUGUUUUUCUUCAGACACAAAGCUAAACAGCAUAGACUCGACGCCCAGAGGCGCCGAAGCACAUCUCACUUCCGCAGGUUUGUGGAUGAAGGGUCCCGAAGGACCCAUCUUUUUAAUGAUCCCUCCGCAGGUUCACCUACGGAGA
Molecule: unclassified non-coding RNA, 153 nt
Filed under: uncultured fungus
Lineage: Eukaryota; Fungi
Description: sequence contains ITS1
Source: RNAcentral